UACACCUUAGUGUAGGGCGCACAUAAGUUUUUGAUACUUAAAGGGGUAGUUUAAGUCUGCCUGGUGUAA
Molecule: transfer RNA, 69 nt
Filed under: Perlesta teaysia
Lineage: Eukaryota; Metazoa; Arthropoda; Insecta; Plecoptera; Perlidae
Description: tRNA-Gln
Rfam family: tRNA
About the family: Transfer RNA (tRNA) molecules are approximately 80 nucleotides in length.
Source: RNAcentral